This 116-nucleotide ribosomal RNA is filed under the name Legionellales bacterium. Lineage: Bacteria; Pseudomonadati; Pseudomonadota; Gammaproteobacteria; Legionellales. The record is from RNAcentral.
UCUAGUGACAAUAGCGAGCGGGAACCACCUGAAUCCAUUUCGAACUCAGAAGUGAAAACGCUCAGCGCCGAUGAUAGUGUGGAUAUAAUCCAUGUGAAAGUAGGUCAUUGCUAGGC